UACGUAGGGGGCUAGCGUUGUCCGGAAUCAUUGGGCGUAAAGCGCGUGUAGGCGGCCCGGUAAGUCCGCUGUGAAAGUCGGGGGCUCAACCCUCGGAUGCCGGUGGAUACUGUCGGGCUUGAGUACGGAAGAGGCGAGUGGAAUUCCUGGUGUAGCGGUGAAAUGCGCAGAUAUCAGGAGGAACACCGAUUGCGAAGGCAGCUCGCUGGGACGUUACUGACGCUGAGACGCGAAAGCGUGGGGAGCGAACAGG
RNAcentral lists this ribosomal RNA (253 nucleotides) under uncultured bacterium. RNAcentral's name for it is "partial 16S ribosomal RNA". It matches the Rfam family "Bacterial small subunit ribosomal RNA", at positions 524 to 776 of the family's 1533-position model. The record is from RNAcentral.